Molecule: ribosomal RNA, 422 nt
Filed under: Salmonella enterica
Lineage: Bacteria; Pseudomonadati; Pseudomonadota; Gammaproteobacteria; Enterobacterales; Enterobacteriaceae
Also listed under: 2 other names
Description: partial 23S ribosomal RNA
Rfam family: Bacterial large subunit ribosomal RNA
Source: RNAcentral
UAUAACCGGCGAUACCCGAAUGGGGAAACCCAGUGUGACUCGUCACACUAUCAUUAACUGAAUCCAUAGGUUAAUGAGGCGAACCGGGGGAACUGAAACAUCUAAGUACCCCGAGGAAAAGAAAUCAACCGAGAUUCCCCCAGUAGCGGCGAGCGAACGGGGAGGAGCCCAGAGCCUGAAUCAGCAUGUGUGUUAGUGGAAGCGUCUGGAAAGGCGCGCGAUACAGGGUGACAGCCCCGUACACAAAAGCGCAUGUGCUGUGAGCUCGAUGAGUAGGGCGGGACACGUGGUAUCCUGUCUGAAUAUGGGGGGACCAUCCUCCAAGGCUAAAUACUCCUGACUGACCGAUAGUGAACCAGUACCGUGAGGGAAAGGCGAAAAGAACCCCGGCGAGGGGAGUGAAAAAGAACCUGAAACCGUGU